CCUUAGGCUCCACAAGGGCUGGGGGUUACUUUCUCUGGAUCAUCAAGUAGUUAAUUUCUUCCCUUUGGUGGUGGUUUUUAGCAACUGAAAACUCAGGAAAUAUGCAUGAGAUACCAUUAUCUGGGUGCUUCAGAGAGGGGCUACAGCAGAGGACACGGGGCAGGGGUCUGACCCUGGAGGGCCCCAUGAGUCCUGCUCAGUUACACCAGUAGACCCCGAACUUUGUUACCCGCUCACUGUAAUACAAUAAUACGGUAAAUGACACCCCCACAGGCGCCUGACAGUUUGAAGGCUGACCAUAAACGGUCAAAAGUGGGUGAGGGCCCAGUCCCUGGGAGUCCCCACCCCUCCCCCAAAGCAGCGGGAAUAGCCCUCCCACCCGUUAGCACGUGGAGUUACCCAGCCCGUAAAAGCUGACACCCCCAGGCCUCGUGGCCUCUUGUUUGCCUUCUGAGAUGGCUCCACUGUGUCUAUGCAGUCUGCAACUACUUCUACCUUAAACCAAACACCCCCAUGCCUCGUGGCCUCCCUGGCCUGCGAUCUGUCUAUGAAGAAUGUAUCUCUCUGGAUAAAUCUACCUCCACUCAACUAUGGCUCCCUCUUAAAUUCUUUUCUGUGUGAAGCCAAGGACCCUCACCUGAUGGGCUGUAUCUCAGGGACUUGCCUGGAACCUGGGUCGCGGCCGUCCUCUCACGCCCUAUUUUCCUGCAUCAGCACCACGUGGUUAAAGAACCAGAUGCUGUUUGGCGCAGGAAUACAAAAAUGGAAGAAAGCAAUGUGGUCAGGAGUUGCUCUCCGAAGAAGUGGCUCUGAGCUAGAUUAGAAGGAUAUGCAGGAUGUCCUGGCAGAGAGAAGGAGAGACAGGCAGCCCCAUCUUUUCGAUGCUACUGUUUGAAGGACGUCCCAGCUCUCCGGGUCCCCCAGGCAGCACCACUUCAUGUUUUAGUUGACUUCUUUGCACACUGGAAAAAUAAGAAGGCUCCCUUCUCCGUGCAUCACGACUGCUCCUUUUUGAAAAGCAGUGUUCUGUCUCGGCCACGUUCUGCUUCUCCCUCUGAAGCACGGAGACACUUGGACUGCAUCUCUGCUGAUGAGGGAAGUGGAGAGAAGUUUGUGCACUAGAAGAUGUGUCGGCUGUAGGAAGGCGACCCUGUCUUUGAAGAACAACAAACAGAGGAUACAGAAGAUGAUCGAUUUUUGAAGACCUGAAAAUGAAAUAAUGUGAGAGAGGAAAAAUAUACAUAAAAUGUCCACCUGGCUCAUUAACAAAAUGAAAAGCAAAGAAUUUAAACCUUUAUUCCAUGAACAUAAAGUAAGAAAAAGAUACACCACCUCCUUGUUAUGGGCAGUUAAAUAGGAAGAAAAGAGCAGACAGAAGAAAUUAUAUAUGAAAAUAAAGGAGAGAAAGAAAAAAAGGUGAAAAGGAGAGGAGUAGGUUAGAAAAGGAGAACAAAGGAAGAAAGACAAUAGGACUCGACUUGGGAGAGAAAAAUCUGGGGGCAGGAGGAGAGCUUCACAGGGCAGGAAGAAGGCAGUGGGUCGUCCCAGCCCUACUCCCCUUUUUGCAGCCUCCACUCUCGAAUCUGGUUUGCCACCCCUCCGUGCAAUUGAUGGAAUCUCUCUGAGACAGCAUGCUCUCCAUCUCCAGACCUUCUCAGGCCCAGAGGCUUUGUCAGUCUUCACCUGCAUCCAGCCCCAUGGGAGGGACCCCUUCAAGUACAGCACGGACAGGAAGAAGACAUUUUGGAAAUUUGACAUAAGUUCUAGGUCUUCCUUAUGGAACUUUCUCCUUUCCAACUGGUCAUACAGGUUGUUUGUGUUGCUAUUAAAUCAGAAAUAAUUAAUAGCCAUUUACUUUUCAAAAGUUUGCCCCCGUUGACAUAAAAUUCAGCAAAGAGCAGGGUCUAGUACAGUUGCCUUCUCUAACAUCUGUUACACAGUUGAGAGUGUAAAUGUUAUGGCUAUUUUACCUAAAAGAAGGCUUAUGCUAGAGAUCUCUGAUAAUUUUCUGUAAGUUUUGUUGAUUUGUAAGCAUUUGAAGAAAAAGCUCAUAUUUUAGAGGGUCAUUCUAUUACUGAGUCCAAUCUCAUACUGUUCACCACACAGCACGCCAAUAAAUCAGGGGACAAGGUGUUGGGGCAAGGAAUAAUGACUUUAUUUGGAAAGCCAGCAGACCAAGAAGAGGGAGGACUCACGUUCUGGAGAACCACAUUCCCCAAGCUCCUUUUAUACUAAGAAGGGGGAAGGGGUAUGGUUGUUUAUUGCAAGCUUCUUGGUGUCAGAAUCCUCUGUUCUUGCAGCUGUCCACCUAGGUCAGGUCAUGGUGUCCCUGUAAACCUCCAACAAGACAAAUGUUAUCCUCUAUUCUGCAACUUUUUAUCUCUAAAUGAAUAGGUAAGUGUUACUCUCUUAAAGGUCAGAGCCUUGAGAAUGGGCUGUCUUGUACAUUUCAGGCUAUGGGAAACAUUCUUUUACAAAAGGUGCAGAACCUGCGUGACCAAGCGCAGGAGGAGAGCUGAAUGAACAGAUCUAACAUGGAGUCAGAUUUGUUCUUCCCUGUUACAAUUCUGCAUGUCAUUCCUGGCCCAGGAUCCCGGGGUCGUUGUGUUAUUCUGAAUCCUGGGCCCGCAGCCUUAUCUAUCAUGGAUAGUUCUUCUCUAGUUUGCUUAUUGCUCCUUUAAAAGCAAAUUGAAUAAUUUUCUAUGUUCUAGAAGAUUAUGAGGAAAGGAAAUUGCAGAAAUAGUUUCACUGGCCUUGAAAAUGUCAGUUGAGACAGUCAUAGAGCUAUAUUUUUAAGACUAAUGUGAAGAAAUCCCAGAGUCUUCAAAAGAGGCUGCUGAGCAAUA
Molecule: long non-coding RNA, 2846 nt
Organism: Camelus dromedarius (Arabian camel)
Lineage: Eukaryota; Metazoa; Chordata; Mammalia; Artiodactyla; Camelidae
Exons: 3
Source: RefSeq, a predicted model, not a curated record